UGUGUUUGGUGUAAUCGGUCUAGUUCAUAAUUUAAAUAUCAUUAACUCGGAUGGCGACCACAAAAGCCGAGGCAAGAAUUAGCCCGUAGGGCUCGAUAUUUUUACACCAAAAAUUACGAAAGGCU
Molecule: microRNA precursor, 125 nt
Filed under: Ixodes scapularis (black-legged tick)
Lineage: Eukaryota; Metazoa; Arthropoda; Arachnida; Ixodida; Ixodidae
Description: miRNA
Source: RNAcentral